GAGGGUCUAGCUCAUUGGUAGAGCAUAUGCUUAGCAUGCACAAGAUGCUGAGUUCAAUCCCCAGUACUUCCU
This 72-nucleotide transfer RNA is filed under the name Camelus ferus (Wild Bactrian camel). It matches the Rfam family "tRNA". Rfam says of the family: Transfer RNA (tRNA) molecules are approximately 80 nucleotides in length. Their secondary structure includes four short double-helical elements and three loops (D, anti-codon, and T loops). The record is from Rfam by way of RNAcentral. Lineage: Eukaryota; Metazoa; Chordata; Mammalia; Artiodactyla; Camelidae.